This 677-nucleotide ribosomal RNA is filed under the name Phytophthora infestans (potato late blight agent). RNAcentral describes it as "eukaryotic LSU rRNA". The stretch from base 74 to 228 matches the Rfam family "5.8S ribosomal RNA". The record is from RNAcentral. Lineage: Eukaryota; Oomycota; Peronosporomycetes; Peronosporales; Peronosporaceae.
UUUUUAUUUAAAACCCUUUACUUAAUACUGAUUAUACUGUGGGGACGAAAGUCUCUGCUUUUAACUAGAUAGCAACUUUCAGCAGUGGAUGUCUAGGCUCGCACAUCGAUGAAGAACGCUGCGAACUGCGAUACGUAAUGCGAAUUGCAGGAUUCAGUGAGUCAUCGAAAUUUUGAACGCAUAUUGCACUUCCGGGUUAGUCCUGGAAGUAUGCCUGUAUCAGUGUCCGUACAACAAACUUGGCUUUCUUCCUUCCGUGUAGUCGGUGGAGGAGAUGCCAGAUGUGAAGUGUCUUGCGGUUGGUUUUCGGACCGACUGCGAGUCCUUUUAAAUGUACUAAACUGUACUUCUCUUUGCUCCAAAAGUGGUGGCAUUGCUGGUUGUGGACGCUGCUAUUGUAGCGAGUUGGCGACCGGUUUGUCUGCUGCGGCGUUAAUGGAGAAAUGCUCGAUUCGUGGUAUGGUUGGCUUCGGCUGAACAAUGCGCUUAUUGGGUGAUUUUCCUGCUGUGGCGUGAUGGACUGGUGAACCAUGGCUCUUUAGCUUGGCAUUUGAAUCGGCUUUGCUGUUGCGAAGUAAAGUGGCGGCUUCGGCUGCCGAGGGUCGAUCCAUUUGGGAAAUGUUGUGUACUUCGGUAUGCAUCUCAUUGGACCUGAUAUCAGGCAAGAUUACCCGCUG